AUUGAACGCUGGCGGCAGGCCUAACACAUGCAAGUCGAACGGCAGCACAGAAGAGCUUGCUCUUUGGGUGGCGAGUGGCGGACGGGUGAGUAAUGUCUGGGAAACUGCCCGGUGGAGGGGGAUAACUACUGGAAACGGUAGCUAAUAUCGCAUAACGUCGCAAGACCAAAGUGGGGGACCUUCGGGCCUCACACCAUCGGAUGUGCCCAGAUGGGAUUAGCUAGUAGGUGGGGUAAUGGCUCACCUAGGCGACGAUCCCUAGCUGGUCUGAGAGGAUGACCAGCCACACUGGAACUGAGACACGGUCCAGACUCCUACGGGAGGCAGCAGUGGGGAAUAUUGCACAAUGGGCGCAAGCCUGAUGCAGCCAUGCCGCGUGUAUGAAGAAGGCCUUCGGGUUGUAAAGUACUUUCAGCGGGGAGGAAGGCGGUGAGGUUAAUAACCUCGCCGAUUGACGUUACCCGCAGAAGAAGCACCGGCUAACUCCGUGCCAGCCGCCGCGGUAA
Molecule: ribosomal RNA, 506 nt
Filed under: uncultured bacterium
Lineage: Bacteria
Description: partial 16S ribosomal RNA
Rfam family: Bacterial small subunit ribosomal RNA
Source: RNAcentral